GGGUUGUGAGGUUAAGCGACUAAGCGUACACGGUGGAUGCCCUGGCAGUCAGAGGCGAUGAAGGGCGUGCUAAUCUGCGAUAAGCGCCGGUAAGGUGAUAUGAACCGUUAUAACCGGCGAUACCCGAAUGGGGAAACCCAGUGUGAUUCGUCACACUAUCAUUAACUGAAUCCAUAGGUUAAUGAGGCGAACCGGGGGAACUGAAACAUCUAAGUACCCCGAGGAAAAGAAAUCAACCGAGAUUCCCCCAGUAGCGGCGAGCGAACGGGGAGGAGCCCAGAGCCUGAAUCAGCAUGUGUGUUAGUGGAAGCGUCUGGAAAGGCGCGCGAUACAGGGUGACAGCCCCGUACACAAAAGCGCAUGUGCUGUGAGCUCGAUGAGUAGGGCGGGACACGUGGUAUCCUGUCUGAAUAUGGGGGGACCAUCCUCCAAGGCUAAAUACUCCUGACUGACCGAUAGUGAACCAGUACCGUGAGGGAAAGGCGAAAAGAACCCCGGCGAGGGGAGUGAAAAAGAACCUGAAACCGUGUACGUACAAGCAGUGGGAGCACCCUUUGGGGUGUGACUGCGUACCUUUUGUAUAAUGGGUCAGCGACUUAUAUUCUGUAGCAAGGUUAACCGAAUAGGGGAGCCGGAGGGAAACCGAGUCUUAAUUGGGCGUUAAGUUGCAGGGUAUAGACCCGAAACCCGGUGAUCUAGCCAUGGGCAGGUUGAAGGUUGGGUAACACUAACUGGAGGACCGAACCGACUAAUGUUGAAAAAUUAGCGGAUGACCUGUGGCUGGGGGUGAAAGGCCAAUCAAACCGGGAGAUAGCUGGUUCUCCCCGAAAGCUAUUUAGGUAGCGCCUCGUGAACUCAUCUCCGGGGGUAGAGCACUGUUUCGGCUAGGGGGUCAUCCCGACUUACCAACCCGAUGCAAACUGCGAAUACCGGAGAAUGUUAUCACGGGAGACACACGGCGGGUGCUAACGUCCGUCGUGAAGAGGGAAACAACCCAGACCGCCAGCUAAGGUCCCAAAGUCAUGGUUAAGUGGGAAACGAUGUGGGAAGGCCCAGACAGCCAGGAUGUUGGCUUAGAAGCAGCCAUCAUUUAAAGAAAGCGUAAUAGCUCACUGGUCGAGUCGGCCUGCGCGGAAGAUGUAACGGGGCUAAACCAUGCACCGAAGCUGCGGCAGCGACGCUUAUGCGUUGUUGGGUAGGGGAGCGUUCUGUAAGCCUGCGAAGGUGGCCUGUGAGGGUUGCUGGAGGUAUCAGAAGUGCGAAUGCUGACAUAAGUAACGAUAAAGCGGGUGAAAAGCCCGCUCGCCGGAAGACCAAGGGUUCCUGUCCAACGUUAAUCGGGGCAGGGUGAGUCGACCCCUAAGGCGAGGCCGAAAGGCGUAGUCGAUGGGAAACGGGUUAAUAUUCCCGUACUUGGUGUUACUGCGAAGGGGGGACGGAGAAGGCUAUGUUGGCCGGGCGACGGUUGUCCCGGUUUAAGCGUGUAGGUGUGUGUUCCAGGUAAAUCCGGUUCACUUUAACACUGAGGCGUGAUGACGAGGCACUACGGUGCUGAAGCAACAAAUGCCCUGCUUCCAGGAAAAGCCUCUAAGCAUCAGGUAACAUCAAAUCGUACCCCAAACCGACACAGGUGGUCAGGUAGAGAAUACCAAGGCGCUUGAGAGAACUCGGGUGAAGGAACUAGGCAAAAUGGUGCCGUAACUUCGGGAGAAGGCACGCUGACAUGUAGGUGAAGUGAUUUACUCAUGGAGCUGAAGUCAGUCGAAGAUACCAGCUGGCUGCAACUGUUUAUUAAAAACACAGCACUGUGCAAACACGAAAGUGGACGUAUACGGUGUGACGCCUGCCCGGUGCCGGAAGGUUAAUUGAUGGGGUCAGCGCAAGCGAAGCUCCUGAUCGAAGCCCCGGUAAACGGCGGCCGUAACUAUAACGGUCCUAAGGUAGCGAAAUUCCUUGUCGGGUAAGUUCCGACCUGCACGAAUGGCGUAAUGAUGGCCAGGCUGUCUCCACCCGAGACUCAGUGAAAUUGAACUCGCUGUGAAGAUGCAGUGUACCCGCGGCAAGACGGAAAGACCCCGUGAACCUUUACUAUAGCUUGACACUGAACAUUGAGCCUUGAUGUGUAGGAUAGGUGGGAGGCUUUGAAGCGUGGACGCCAGUCUGCGUGGAGCCGACCUUGAAAUACCACCCUUUAAUGUUUGAUGUUCUAACGUGGACCCGUGAUCCGGGUUGCGGACAGUGUCUGGUGGGUAGUUUGACUGGGGCGGUCUCCUCCUAAAGAGUAACGGAGGAGCACGAAGGUUGGCUAAUCCUGGUCGGACAUCAGGAGGUUAGUGCAAUGGCAUAAGCCAGCUUGACUGCGAGCGUGACGGCGCGAGCAGGUGCGAAAGCAGGUCAUAGUGAUCCGGUGGUUCUGAAUGGAAGGGCCAUCGCUCAACGGAUAAAAGGUACUCCGGGGAUAACAGGCUGAUACCGCCCAAGAGUUCAUAUCGACGGCGGUGUUUGGCACCUCGAUGUCGGCUCAUCACAUCCUGGGGCUGAAGUAGGUCCCAAGGGUAUGGCUGUUCGCCAUUUAAAGUGGUACGCGAGCUGGGUUUAGAACGUCGUGAGACAGUUCGGUCCCUAUCUGCCGUGGGCGCUGGAGAACUGAGGGGGGCUGCUCCUAGUACGAGAGGACCGGAGUGGACGCAUCACUGGUGUUCGGGUUGUCAUGCCAAUGGCACUGCCCGGUAGCUAAAUGCGGAAGAGAUAAGUGCUGAAAGCAUCUAAGCACGAAACUUUCCCCGAGAUGAGUUCUCCCUGAGACUUAGAGUCUCCUGAAGGAACGUUGAAGACGACGACGUUGAUAGGCCGGGUGUGUAAGCGCAGCGAUGCGUUGAGCUAACCGGUACUAAUGAACCGUGAGGCUUAACCUUACAACGCCGAAG
RNAcentral lists this ribosomal RNA (2927 nucleotides) under Salmonella enterica subsp. enterica serovar Abony str. 0014. Its description in RNAcentral is "bacterial LSU rRNA". It matches the Rfam family "Bacterial large subunit ribosomal RNA". Lineage: Bacteria; Pseudomonadati; Pseudomonadota; Gammaproteobacteria; Enterobacterales; Enterobacteriaceae. The record is from RNAcentral.